Molecule: ribosomal RNA, 420 nt
Filed under: uncultured bacterium
Lineage: Bacteria
Description: partial 16S ribosomal RNA
Rfam family: Bacterial small subunit ribosomal RNA
Source: RNAcentral
AUUUUGGACAAUGGGGGCAACCCUGAUCCAGCCAUCCCGCGUGUGCGAUGAAGGCCUUCGUGUUGUAAAGCACUUUUUGCUGGGAAGAAAAGGCUCUGGCUACUACCUGGAGCUGCUGACGGUACCUGCAAAAUACGCACCGGCUAACUACGUGCCAGCAGCCGCGGUAAUACGUAGGGUGCAAGCGUUAAUCGGAAUUACUUGGCGUAAAGCGUGGGCAGGCGGUUCGGCAAGAAGGAUGUGAAAUCCCAGGGCUUAACCUUGGAACUGCAUUCUUAACUGCCGGGCUAGAGUAUGUCAGAGGGGGGUAGAAUUCCGCGUGUAGCAGUGAAAUGCGUAGAGAUGAGGAGGAAUACCGAUGGCGAAGGCAGCCCCCUGGGAUAAUACUGACGCUCAUGCACGAAAGCGUGGGGGGCAAAC